CGGUCACGUAGGAUGAUAGUGCUUUUGGUUCUAGGUCGCUGGCUAUGAUGGAGUAGGAGAUGUGACCAUUGGAUCCCAAAUCGGGAUCAGAGGCGCUGACUUGAGCGAUGGAGGCUCCAGGUAGAAUGGAUCAAGAAAGAGGCUGGAGUAGUGUGGCAGAAACUGAGAACCAGUGCUUGGAGCUGGGAGACAGCCAGGAACACCAUGGAAAUUGAAGGUGGCUGGUGGCUGGAGUGACCAAAGCUUGGGCAGACAAGGUUUAAUCUUCAAAUUCGAGCGGCUUACAUAACUUCGUUGGAGGAUCUGCUGCCUCGAUCCAGUCAUUCUCACGCUGAUCUCUGCUGUCUUGGCUAGAUGGAGUCGUUCUCAGCACUCACCCCCGGAUUCUCCACACUUAAACACUCAGCCUUCUCUCCGAAUCACGCAGCGCAGUUGGUUCGUAAGUUCUCCGAGCAGAACAAAGACAGCAGGAAGGGAGGCGGCGCUUCCUGCGCUCUGCGCGCCUGCCCCGUGGGCGACUUCCUAUCCACGCAGCCGUUGAGACGUGAGUUCACGCGCGGUAGUUGCUCUCAGCCUCCCAGGAAGGAAAAGGCAACGCCUCACUCGGAGCCAUUAAAUAUCCUGAUGAUGAUGACCCGAAUACUGCAAUCAGAGAGCAGGAGAAAGGGCGACGAAAAUCAAGUGGUUCAAACAGCGCAGGGAGGCCGUGCAUUUUUUUUGGAUGUGUUUGCGAGAGCCCGCGGGGAUGACUGGGUCAGAAUGGCCACUGACUGGACGACAGCGGCACCCAGAGGUUCAGCGUGGUACCUAUCGCAAAUUGCUUCUGAAAUUCCUCAGAAGAAGCCACUGCUUCAUUUCCCGGACUUGUUUUAGAAUAUCAGCUAUGUUAAAGUGAAGAGUAUAA
Non-coding RNA from Peromyscus maniculatus bairdii (prairie deer mouse), 904 nucleotides. The record is from RefSeq and is a predicted model, not a curated record. Lineage: Eukaryota; Metazoa; Chordata; Mammalia; Rodentia; Cricetidae.